UGCCCCCCGGCCGGGAUAGCCCAGGGAAACCUGGAUUAAUACCGGAUGAGACGGGACCCGCGAUGGCGGGACCCGGGAAAGGCGCUGCGGCGCCGCCGGGGGAUGAGUCUGCGUCCCAUUAGCUAGACGGCGGGGUAACGGCCCACCGUGGCGACGAUGGGUAGCCGGCCUGAGAGGGUGGACGGCCACAUUGGAACUGAGACACGGUCCAGACUCCUACGGGAGGCAGCAGCUAAGAAUCUUCCGCAAUGGGCGAAAAGCCUGACGGAGCGACGCCGCCGUGAACGAAGAAGGCCGCGAGGUUGUAAAGUUCUUUUCGGGAGGGGGAACAACCGUGGCAGGGAAUGGCCGCGGGAUGACGUGAAUCCCGGAAAUAAGCCCCGGCUAACUACGUGCCAGCAGCAGC
Molecule: ribosomal RNA, 406 nt
Filed under: uncultured bacterium
Lineage: Bacteria
Description: bacterial SSU rRNA
Rfam family: Bacterial small subunit ribosomal RNA
Source: RNAcentral